UUCCAAUUAAAUCCAAAUGUUACAAGUCACUCCAAAAAGGCUAAGGCAUAACCAAAAAGAGCUUAAAAUUAAAUUAUGCAGAUCUUACAAAUAAUUCAAAAAAGGUUACACAAUGAGUCCAAGAGUUACAUAAUAAUCCAAACUCCAAAUAAUCCAAAUUCACACAAGAAUCCAAAAGAGCACUUGUUAAUUUACACAUUACAAAAUACCCCAAAAUUCUGAGUACAAAGAAAAUAAUUUGAAGGAAUUGAAUAAGAUGUAAUAUCCAACAGAUUGAAGCAACUUCAAAGACUUUUCCCAAAAGCACUUUUGGAAGUUUCAGCCCCCAAUCCCAAGCUGGCGCCGUCCCCUUUCCUAAUCAACAUCACUUCACCUGCAAAAAAA
RNAcentral lists this long non-coding RNA (384 nucleotides) under Lathyrus oleraceus (garden pea). Its description in RNAcentral is "Pisum sativum (pea) long non-coding RNA (PSAT_LNC012359)". The record is from RNAcentral. Lineage: Eukaryota; Viridiplantae; Streptophyta; Magnoliopsida; Fabales; Fabaceae.